AAGAACCCGGUGACAGGUGCUGCAUGGCUGUCGUCAGCUCGUGUCGUGAGAUGUUGGGUUAAGUCCCGCAACGAGCGCAACCCUCGCCUUUAGUUGCCAGCAUUCAGUUGGGCACUCUAGAGGGACUGCCGGUGUCAAACCGGAGGAAGGUGGGGAUGACGUCAAGUCCUCAUGGCCUUUAUGUCUAGGGCUACACACGUACUACAAUGGCCGGUACAAAGGGCAGCCACUCAGCGAUGAGGCGCUAAUCCCAUAAAGCCGGUCUCAGUCCGGAUCGCAGUCUGCAACUCGACUGCGUGAAGUUGGAAUCGCUAGUAAUCGUAGAUCAGCAUGCUACGGUGAAUACGUUCCCGGGCCUU
RNAcentral lists this ribosomal RNA (359 nucleotides) under uncultured Desulfovibrio sp. Its description in RNAcentral is "bacterial SSU rRNA". It matches the Rfam family "Bacterial small subunit ribosomal RNA", at positions 1022 to 1382 of the family's 1533-position model. The record is from RNAcentral. Lineage: Bacteria; Pseudomonadati; Thermodesulfobacteriota; Desulfovibrionia; Desulfovibrionales; Desulfovibrionaceae.